Molecule: long non-coding RNA, 6292 nt
Organism: Callithrix jacchus (white-tufted-ear marmoset)
Lineage: Eukaryota; Metazoa; Chordata; Mammalia; Primates; Cebidae
Source: RefSeq, a predicted model, not a curated record
GCUCCGGUUGUACCUCGCCCCUCCCCGCUGUUUCCUCCAGCCCACGGCUGCGCACUCGCACUCGGUUUCGCCCUUGGGGCUGGGCUGUUCACUGCAGCAAGGAGCAAAAGGCCCUGGGGCCGUGCUCGCCUGCUCUGCCCCACAGGCUCCCUCAGGUUUUGGUCCUAGAGAUAAUAUCUAAAGGAUAGAGAAGGAGAUGGAAAGCAGAGAGAGAGCUUGAAGGUAAUCCACAUUGCUUCAUCAAACCAGAAAACAGUUUAAACCUGGUCAGCUUCUAACUGGAAGCCACAUUUUAAGAACUUACUUCGAAGAACAGGAAAGCCUCCAAUAGAGAGAAAGAAAAGAGAAGAGAGAGACAGAGAGAGAAAGAGAGAGAGAGAGAGAGAGAGAGAGAGAGAGAGAGAGAGAGAGAGAGAGAGAAAGAGAAAGAAAUAUUAAAGAUAAUGGGACAGAACUCAGAAAGGCGAGAAAGGCAACAGCAAGAGACAGAGGAGGCCAAAUUCACUUUAUAACAAACCAUUUUCAAAAUUUCAAGCUCUGAGAUGGCCAAUUAGGAGCAGCUCCCAACGAAAGCACAGAGGGUGAGUGGACACUGCAUUUCCAGAUGGAUUUUUAUUGCACACAGACCAGGAGAUUCCCAGGUGGGGGAGCCCCAAGGGUGGCCAGUGUAGCAGGUCUCCGCACAAAAUACAUGGGUCUGGGUGCUGUUUUAGCUGGUGAUUGGAGAUCCUGGGAUGCAUUGUCACCCAUUCUACUUAUAAAAAGGAGACUGAAACAGGGAGCCAGGCCAGGAGAUUCCCUGGUGAAAAAGCACCACAAAUCUCCAGCAUGGCUGUUUCAGCCAGCACAGGGGGUUGCCACUCAGAAAAUCACACAGAUCCAGUUGCCUUUUCAACAGGUGACUGGAACACCUGGGAGAUAGAGUCACCCAUUAAACUGAAAAAUAAAAAGGGAACUGAAACAAGGAGCCAGGACAGGAGAUUCCUGCGUGAAAAAGCACCCAGUGCAGCUGUUUCAGCCAGCUCAACGGGUCUCUGAACAAAAUCUCACACAAAUCCAGGCACCUUUUCAACUGGCAACUGGGACACCUGAGAGACAGAGUCAUCCAUUCAACUGAAAAAAAAAAAAAAAAAAAAAAGGAGGUCUGAGGCAGGGAGCCAGGUGAUCAGGCUCGGCCAUUCCCACCCCACAAAAAACAGCAAUCUGAAACGCUCUGGAUUGAGAGUUUCACAGCAAGCACAGCUGAACCUGGGAUGGUCCAGCUCUGUGGGGGAGGGGCAUCUGCCUUUACAGAGAGAGUCCACCAAUACAGAGGUGGGUUGCCAUUGCAGAGGCAGUUCUAAAUAUACCUCUAUAAACAGGACUGCAGGGAAGUUCACAUGGCAGCUGGGUGGAGCCCACAGCAGCUCAGCAAGCCUCUGCAGGCAGACUGUGAAUAGGCUGCCUCCUCUCUGGGCAGGGCAGCCCCGAAAAAAGGCAGUAGCAGAACAGAAACUUAUAAAUAAAGCCCUAACUCCCUGAGACAGAGGACCUGGGGGGAAAAAAAGGUGUUUAUGAGUUCUGCUGCAGCAGACUUAAACGUACCCGCCCAGCAGCACUGAAUGGAACAAUGGAGCUCACAGCUCAGCACUGAGCUCCUAUAAAGAACAGACUGUUUCCUCAAGCAGCUCCUUGAUCCCUAUGUAUCCAAAGAGUCACCUCAUAAAGAAGAGCUCAGACUGACAUCUGGUGGGUAUCCUUCUGGGACAAAGACAGCAGAAUAAGAAACUGGCAGCAACUCUGUUUUGCAGCCACUGCAGGUGAUCCCCAGGCAAGCAGGGCCUGGAGUGGACCUCAGCAGUCCUACAGCAGAGAGACCUGACUGUUAGAAGGAAAACUAAGAAACAGAAAGAAAUAACUUUAUCAUCAACAAACUGGACGUCACCUCAGAGACCCCCAUCUGAAAGUCAACAACUACAAAAAUGACAAGUAGAUAAAUCUAAAAAGAUGGGAAGAAUUUAGUGCAAAAAGGAUGAAAACACCCAAAACCAGAAUGCCUCUCCUCCUCCAAGGGAUCACAACUCCUCACCAGCAAGGGAACAAGGCUGGAUGGAGAAUGAGGCUGAUGAAUUCACAGAAACAGACUUCAGAAGGUGGGUAAUAAGAAACUUGUCUGACCUAAAAGAACAUGUUCUAACCCAAUGCAAAUAAACUAAGACCUUAAAAAAAGAUUUGAAGAAAUGCUAAUGAGAAUAAACAGAUUAGAGAGGAAUAUAAGUGAAUUGAUGGAGCUGAAACACACAAUAUGAGAAUUUCACGAAGCAUACACAAGUUUCAACAGCUGAAUUGACCAAGCAGAAGAAAGGACAUUAGAGGUUGAAGAUCAACUCAAUGAAAUAAAACAAGAAGGCAAGAUUAGAGAAAAAAGCAUAAAAAGGAAUGAACAAAGUCUCCAAGAAAUGUGGGACUAUGUGAAGAGACCUAAUCUACAUUUGAUAGGUGUAUCCAAAUGUGAUGAAGAGAAUGAAUCCAAGCUGGAAAAUAUUCUUCAGGAUAUUAUCCAGUAAAAUUUCCCCAAUUGUCUCUUUUGAUCUUUGUUGGUUUAGAGUCUAUUUUAUCGGAGACUAGAAUUGCAACUCUUGCUUUUUUUUGCUCUCCAUUUUCUUGGUAAAUCUUCCUCCAUCCCUUUAUUUUGAACCUUUGUUCGUGUCAAGAGACAAUGAAGGACAUUACAUAAUAGUAAAUGGAUCAAUGCAACAAGAAGAGCUAACGAUCCUAAAUAUAAUUGCACCCAAUACAGGAACACCCAGAUACAUAAAGCAAGUUCUUAACGACUUACAAAGAGACUUAGACUCCCACACAAUAAUAGUGGGAGACUUUAAUACCCCACUGUCAAUAUUAGAUCAAUGAGAGAGAAAAUUAACAAGGAUAUCCAGGACUUGAACUCAGACCUGGACCAAGCAAACCUAAUAGACAUUUACAGAAUUCUCCACCCCAAAACCACAGAAUAUACAUUCUUCUCAGCACCACAUCACACCUAAAAUUGACCACAUAAUUGGAAAUAAAUCAAUCCUCAGCAAAUGCAAAAGAAUGGAAAUCAUAACAAAACAGUCUCUCAGACCACAGUGCAAUCAAGUUAGAACUCAGAAUUCAGAAACUAACUCAGAACCACACAACUUCAUGGAAAUUGAAACACUGGCUCUUGCAUGUUGACUGGAUAAGCAGUGAAAUGAAGGCAGAAAUAAAGAUACUCUUCAAAACCAAUGAGAACAAAAACACAACAUACCAGAAUCUCUGGUUUAAAUCUCUAGACACAUUUAAAGCAGUGUCUAGAGGAAAAUAUAUAGCAAUAAAUGACCACAUAAGAAGCCAGGAAAGAUCUAAAAUCGACACCCUAUCAUCAAAAUUGAAAGAGGUAGAGGGGCAAGAACAAAAAAAAAAAAAAAAAAACUCAAAACCUAGCAGAAGACAAGAAAUAACUAAUCAGAGCAGAACUGAAGGAGAUAGAGACACAAAAAAAAAACCCUUCAAAAAAUAAAUAAAUUCAGGAGCUGGUUUUUCAAAAAGAUCAACAAAAUAGACCACUAGUGAGAUUAAUAAAAAAGAAAGGAGAGAAUAAUCAAAUAGAUGCAAUAAAAAAUAAUAAAGAGGAUAUCACCACAGAUUCCACCGAAAUACAAACCAUCAUCAGAGAUUAUUACAAACAACUCUAUAAACUAGUUAACCUGGAAGAAAUGGAUAAAUUCCUGGACACUUGCAUACUCCCAAGCCUAAACCAGGAAAAAGUCAAAACCCAGAAUAGACCAAUAACAAGGGCUGAAGUUGAGGCAACAAUUAAUAGCCUACCACCCAAAAAAAGCCCAGGUCCAGAUGGGUUCACAGCCAAAUUCUACCAGACAUACAAAGAGGAGCUGAGACCAUUCCUUCUGAAACUAUUCCAAACAAUCCAAAAAAAAGGGACUCCUUCCCAAAUCAUUUUAUGAGACCAACAUCAUCCUGAUACCAAAACCCAGCAGAGACUCAACAAGAAAAGAAAAUGUCAGACCAAUAUCCAUGAAGAACAUAGAUGCAAAAAUCUUCAAUAAAAUACUGGCAAGCCAAUUGCAAUAGCACAUCAAAAAGCUUAUCCACCAUGAUCAAGUAGGCUCCAUCCCGGGGAUUCAAGGCUGGUUCAACAUACGCAAGUAUAUAAACAUAAUUCACCACAUAAACAGAACCAAACACAAAAACCACAUGAUUUUCUCAAUAGAUACUGAGAAGGCCUUUGACAAAAUUCAACAUCCCUUUAUGCUAAAAACCCUCAAUAAACUAGGUAUUGAUGAAAUGUAUCUCAAAAUAAUGAAACCUAUUUAUGACAAACCAACAGCCAAUAUCAUACUGAAUGGGCAAAAACUGGAAGCAUUCCCUUUGAAAUCUGGCACUAGAUAAGGAUGUCCUCUCUCACCACUCCUAUUCAAUAUGGUAUUGCAACUUCUAGCCAGAGCAAUUAGGCAAGAAAAAGAAAUAAAGAGCAUUCAAUUAGGAAAGGAGGAAGUCAAAUUGUCUAUUUGCAGAUCACACAAUUGUAUCUAUUAAGAAGACCCCAUCAUCUCGGACCAAAAUCUCCUUAAACUGAUAAGCAAAUUCAGGGAAGUCUCAGGAUAAAAAAAUCAAUGUGCAAAAAUCACAAACAUUCCCAUACACCAAUAAAAGACUUAAAGAGAGCCAAAUCAAGAACGAGCUGCCAUUUGCAAUUGCUACAAAGAGAAUUAAAUACCUAGGAAUACAACUAACAAAGAAUGUAAAGGACCUCUUCAUGGAGAACUACAAACCACUGCUCUACAAGAUAAGAGAGGGCACAAACAGAUGGAGAAAUAUUCCAUGUUCAUGGUUAGGAAAAACUGUGAAAAUGGCUGUACUGCCCAAAGUAAUUUAAAGAUUUAAUGCUAUCCCCAUCAAGCUAUCAAUGACCUUCUUCACAGAACUGGAAAAAACCACCUGAAACUUCAUAUGGAACCAAAAGAGAGCUUGCAGAGCCAAGUCAAUUCUAAGCAAAAAGAACAAAGCUGGAGGCAUCACACUCCCAGACUUCAAACUGUACUACAAGGCUACACUAAUCAAAACAGCAUGGUACUGAUACCAAAACAGAGAUAUAGACCAAUGGAACAGAACAGAGUCCUCGGAGGCAACACCACACAUCUACAGCCAUCUGAUGUUUGACAAAUUUAACAAAAACAAGCAAAGGGGAAGGAUUCCCUGUUUAGUAAAUGGUGUUUGGAAAACUGGCUAGCCAUGUGCAGAAAGCAGAAACUGGACUCCUUCCUGAUACUUUAGACUAAAAUUAACUCCAGAUGGAUUAAAGACCUAAACGUAAGACCUAACAUUAUAAAAACCCUAGAAGAAAAUCUAGGCAAAACCAUUCAGGACAUAGGCAUAGGCAAGGACUUCGUGACCAAAACACCAAAAGCACUGUCAACAAAAGCCAAAAUGGACAAAUGGAACCUAAUCAAGCUCCACAGCUUCUGCACAGCAAAAGAAACAGUCAUUAGAGUGAAUCGGCAACCAACAGAAUGGGAAAAAAUUUUUGCAAUCUACCCGUCUGACAAAGGGCUGAUAUCCAGAAUCUACAAAGAACUAAAACAGAUUUACAAGAAAAAAACAAACAUCCCCAUCAAAAAGUGGGCAAAGUAUAUGAACAGACACUUUACAAAAGAAGACAUAUAUGAGGCAACAAACAUAUGAAAAAAUGCUCAUCAUCACUGGUCAUUAGAGAAAUGCAAAUCUAAACUACAUUGACAUACCAUUUUAUACAAGUUAGAAAGGCAACCAUUAAAAAAAUCUGGAGACAACAGAUGCUGGAGAGGAUGUGGAGAAAUAGGAACACUUUUACACUGUUGGUGGGAGUGUAAAUUAGUUCAACCAUUGUGGAAGACAGUGUGGCGAUUCCUCAAGGACCUAGAAAUAGAAAUACCAUUUGACCCAGCAAUCCCAUUACUGGGUAUGUAUCCAAAGAAUUAUAAAUUGUUCUACUAUAAGGACACAUGCACAUGAAUGUUUACUGCAGCACUGUUUACAAUAGCAAAGACUUGGAACCAACCCAAAUGCUCAUUAAUGAUAGACUGGACAGGGAAAAUGUGGCAUAUAUACACCAUGGAAUACUAUGCAGCCAUAAAAAAACAAUGAGUUCGUGUCCUUUGUAGGGACAUGGAUGAAACUGGAAACCAUCACUCUCAACAAAGUGACACAAGAACAGAAAAUCAAACUCCACAUGUUCUCACUCAUAGGUGGGUGUUGAACAAUGAGAACAUAUGGGCACAGGGAGGGGAGCACUACA